GCAAUUUUCCUAAUUCAAAAAUAAGAUACAACGGGCAGAAAAACAAGAUCAAACAAACAAACGUUUGAGGAGCGUACACAAAGCGGUGGAUUAUGACAUUGAUUGAUAUUCUAAAACAGGAGGGAAAAAUACUUUCCUUCGAUUUUGUCCCUUUCCUUUUCCUUCCCUUCCUCUUCAAGCCUUUUCUAUUUAUUUCUCCACAGUUCAUUCUCCCACUUCCACUCACCCUCCUCUCUCAUGGAUUUAUCUGUCACCAACCCAAAUCCACAAACAGUUAAGAGAAUGAUUUUGAUCUCUCUAGCUUUAUCGAAAUCUCUUUAACAUUUUACGUGUGUAAUGCUUUAUCAGAAAACAGUCUCUCUCUCUCUCUCGUUUCUUGGGAUUUCCUCUUCGUUUGGUGCCUCUGCGUAUUGAUUAAGGCCUUUGAGCCUUACCAUUUUCUUAACAAUGGGGAAUUGCCUUACCCACUCUAAGAAAUCGAAUGCUGAGAUCGCUCCUUACGAUUUCAUCAAAUCUACCACAGCUGUUAAAUUGUAUGGCUCUCCCACCGCCGGCUGCACUGCCUACAUCCGCUUCGCACUUCUAUAUAAGACCCUUUCUGUCCAUUUUUUCCCCACCACCGACACGCCCAAUACGCGACCAGUCCUCCAAAUCGGUUCUGAAACUGUUUCAGGGACGCGCGAGAUGUUGCUCCGAUUUAUCGACGCGAAAUUACCGCAGCCGCCGUUGGUAAUGAAGGAGAGUGAUGGGUUUGGUGAAACGACGCCGUGGGUAGUGAGGGCGGUGUUGUUGCAACAUAGGAGCAUGAGGUGGCACCUGGAAAGGAUGGUGAGGUGGGGAGACGACCUGGUGACGCGUGGAGGGAGGAGGAAUGGGGAUCCGGCAAUGGGUACUCCGAGGAUGGAGAUAAGAAAAUUUAGCAAGAGCUACUCACAGUUGCUGGAGUUCAUGCUUGAACACGCGCAGAUGGAGGAGCGCGUGGUUUUUCCUAUCCUGGAAAUGGCUGAUCGAGGGUUAUGUAGAGCUGCAAAUGAAGAGCAUGCAAGGGACUUACCAAUCAUGAAUGGAAUCAAAGAAGACAUUAAAUCCAUUGGAGUUCUAGACACCGGAAGCCCUAACUACCAAGAUGCUCUCUGCAACCUUUCGACUCGGCUUAAAUCAUUAAUGGAACAUUGCAAAGAGCACUUUGAGGAGGAGGAAAGAGAUGUAUUGCCAUUGAUGGAGGCUGUGGAGCUGAGCAAAGAGCAGCAGUUGAGGGUUUUGGAGCAGUGUUUUGAUCUAAUGCAGGGAACUAAUUCACAUUUGUUCAACUUCCUAAUUGAAGGCCUUCUCCCUUGGGAAGCCAUGCAUUACUUAGAUUUGAUCUUGAGGUGCAAAGACGAAGAAAAGGCAGCCUCCAUGCUUUGCAGGAUUAUUGAAUGAGAUCUAGAGACUGGUUCCAUUUAUAUAGGUACAUAAUAAGAAUGCAUUAUAGAAUUUUUAUUUGUUCAUAGAACCAAUGAUAACGAAUCACCGAAUUUCGACAUGUUCAUAGAAUUAAUGAUGUUUUCUCUACUCUUAUGGGGAAGAAAAUGAUAUUAGUUUGUAAUGCUUUGGGUUUGCAUUUCUGUUGGUGCAUUUUGAGAAUGGUAUUUUUUUAGUUUGUAAUGGUAUUUUGAGAAUGUUCAUAUGUGCAACCUUGGAAUGUAGGAUGCUUAAUUUGCAAUGGGGUCCCGUAGGGCCCAGAUAAUAGUAUUGUUGGGUUUUAUUCUUAAGCAAAA
RNAcentral lists this unclassified non-coding RNA (1760 nucleotides) under Hevea brasiliensis (rubber tree). The record is from RNAcentral. Lineage: Eukaryota; Viridiplantae; Streptophyta; Magnoliopsida; Malpighiales; Euphorbiaceae.